RNAcentral lists this ribosomal RNA (253 nucleotides) under uncultured bacterium. RNAcentral describes it as "partial 16S ribosomal RNA". It matches the Rfam family "Bacterial small subunit ribosomal RNA", at positions 524 to 776 of the family's 1533-position model. The record is from RNAcentral.
UACGAAGGGUGCAAACGUUGCUCGGAAUUAUUGGGCGUAAAGCGCACGUAGGCGGCAUUGCAAGUCGAAUGUGAAAUCCCUCGGCUUAACCAAGGAAGUGCAUCCGAAACUGCAGUGCUUGAGUACUUAAGAGGAUCGCGGAAUUCCCGGUGUAGAGGUGAAAUUCGUAGAUAUCGGGAGGAACACCAAUAGCGAAGGCAGCUCGCUGGGACGGUACUGACGCUGAGGAGCGAAAGCGUGGGGAGCGAACAGG